AUGCACGCUGGCGGCGUGCCUAAUCCAUGCCAGUCGAGCGAACAGACGAGGAGCUUGCUCCUCUGACGUUAGCGGCGGACGGGUGAGUAACACGUGGAUAACCUACCUAUAAGACUGGGAUAACUUCGGGAAACCGGAGCUAAUACCGGAUAAUAUAUUGAACCGCCUGGUUCAAUAGUGAAAGACGGUUUUGCUGUCACUUAUAGAUGGAUCCGCGCCGCAUUAGCUAGUUGGUAAGGUAACGGCUUACCAAGGCAACGAUGCGUAGCCGACCUGAGAGGGUGAUCGGCCACACUGGAACUGAGACACGGUCCAGACUCCUACGGGAGGCAGCAGUAGGGAAUCUUCCGCAAUGGGCGAAAGCCUGACGGAGCAACGCCGCGUGAGUGAUGAAGGUCUUCGGAUCGUAAAACUCUGUUAUUAGGGAAGAACAAAUGUGUAAGUAACUAUGCACGUCUUGACGGUACCUAAUCAGAAAGCCACGGCUAACUACGUG
This 496-nucleotide ribosomal RNA is filed under the name uncultured bacterium. Its description in RNAcentral is "partial 16S ribosomal RNA". It matches the Rfam family "Bacterial small subunit ribosomal RNA", at positions 29 to 507 of the family's 1533-position model. The record is from RNAcentral.